GACGAACGCUGGCGGCGUGCUUAACACAUGCAAGUCGAACGGAAAGGCCCUGCUUUUGUGGGGUGCUCGAGUGGCGAACGGGUGAGUAACACGUGAGUAACCUGCCCUUGACUUUGGGAUAACUUCAGGAAACUGGGGCUACUACCGGAUAGGAGCUCCUGCUGCAUGGUGGGGGUUGGAAAGUUUCGGCGGUUGGGGAUGGACUCGCGGCUUAUCAGCUUGUUGGUGGGGUAGUGGCUUACCAAGGCUUUGACGGGUAGCCGGCCUGAGAGGGUGACCGGCCACAUUGGGACUGAGAUACGGCCCAGACUCCUACGGGAGGCAGCAGUGGGGAAUAUUGCACAAUGGGCGGAAGCCUGAUGCAGCAACGCCGCGUGCGGGAUGACGGCCUUCGGGUUGUAAACCGCUUUCGCCUGUGACGAAGCGUGAGUGACGGUAAUGGGUUAAGAAGCACCGGCUAACUACGUG
This 468-nucleotide ribosomal RNA is filed under the name uncultured bacterium. RNAcentral's name for it is "partial 16S ribosomal RNA". It matches the Rfam family "Bacterial small subunit ribosomal RNA", at positions 28 to 507 of the family's 1533-position model. The record is from RNAcentral.